RNAcentral lists this long non-coding RNA (1102 nucleotides) under Phasianus colchicus (ring-necked pheasant). RNAcentral describes it as "lncRNA (ENSPCLG00000015911.1)". The record is from RNAcentral. Lineage: Eukaryota; Metazoa; Chordata; Aves; Galliformes; Phasianidae.
UGGGGCUUUGUGGGGUCUGGGGUCUCUAUGGGGUCUCUAUGGGGCUCUAUGGGGUCUCUAUGGGUCUUUAUGGGGUCUCUGUGAGGUCGUUAUGGGGGAUGGGGGCUCUGUGGGGUCCCUAUGGGUCCCUAUGGGGUCUAUGGGGUCCCUAUGUGUCUCUAUGGGUCCCCGUGGGUUCUGUGGGUCGCGGCGGGUCCCUGUGGGUCUCUAUGGGUCUCUAUGCAUCCCUAUGGGUCCCUACGUGUCCCCGUGGGUUCGGUGGGUCCCUAUGGGUCCAUAUGGGGUUUAUGGGUCCCUAUGGGUCUCUAUGGGGUCUAUGGGUCUCUAUGGGUCCCUAUGGGGUCUAUGGGUCUCUAUGGGUCCCUACGGGUCCCCUUUGGUUGGUUGUGGGGCGUGCGUGGGUCUGUGGGUCUCUAUGGGGUCCCCAUGAGUCUCUAUGGGUCCGUAUCAGUCCCUAUGGGUCCCUAUGGGUCUCUGUGGGUUCUUAUGGGUCCCUAUGAGUCUCUAUGGGGUCUGUGGGUCCCUAUGGGGUCUAUGGGUCCCUAUGGGUCUCUAUGGGUUCCUAUGAGUCCCUAUGGGUCCCUAUGGGUCUCUAUGGGGUCUAUGGGGUCUCUAUGUGUCUCUAUGGGUCCCUAUGGGGUCUAUGGGUCCCUAUGGGUCUCUAUGGGGUCUAUGGGGUCUCUAUGUGUCUCUAUGGGUCUCUAUGGGUUCUAUGGGUCUCUAUGGGGUCUAUGGGGUCCCUAUGGGUCCCUAUGGGUCCCCGUGGGUUCAGUGGGUCCCUAUGGGUCCCCUUUGGUUGGCUGUGGGGCGUGCGUGGGUCUGUGGGUCUCUAUGGGUCCCUAUGGGUCUCUAUGGGGUCUAUGGGGUCCCUAUGGGAUCUAUGGGGUCUCUAUGUGUCUCUAUGGGUCUCUCUGGCGUCUAUGGGUCCCUAUGGGUCUCUCUGGGUCUCUCUGGGUCCCUAUGGGGUUUAUGGGUCCCUAUGGGUCCCUAUGGGGUCUAUGGGGUCCCUAUGGGUCUCUAUGGGUCUCUAUGGGUUCUAUGGGUCCCUAUGGGUCCCUAUGGGGUUUAUGGGUCCCUACGGGUCCCCUUUGGUUGGCUGUGG